Molecule: long non-coding RNA, 540 nt
Organism: Sapajus apella (tufted capuchin)
Lineage: Eukaryota; Metazoa; Chordata; Mammalia; Primates; Cebidae
Exons: 2
Source: RefSeq, a predicted model, not a curated record
UUGCAGUGAGCCCAGAUUGUACCACUGCACUCAGCCUGGUGACAGAGCAAAACUCUGUCAAGGGCGAGGAGAUGUUACAGGAUAUGGUGUGGAACUUGUAUGAAUCCUAAUUUGGACAAAUUGAUUAUUAAAACACUUUGAGAUCAUUGGAGAAAUUUGAGUAUAGACUGAGUGUUAAAAGAUAUUAAAGACUUAUUAACUUUGUUAGGUGUAAUAAUUGUUUUAUGGGUUUUUUUACGUUUUUAUCUGUUAAAGACACUGAACUAUUACAGGUUAAGCUGAUAUGAUAUCUGGGGUUUUCUUUAAAGUGAUCCAGUGACAGGGCAUGGAAAAGGCAGCAGUUGAAAUCAGAGUAGCAAAAUGUUGAGAAUUACUGAAGCUCACUGAUGGAUACAUGGAGAUGCAGAAUUCCUGCUCUGUGGAAAGAAAAGUAAUAGUAAGAAGAAAGACUAAGAAUCUCUGUGGUCUGGGGAUGGUAGGAAAACCUGAAGAGUGAUGUGCAGAUUAAUAGUGAGUGUCAACUUGAUUGGAUUGAAGGAU